GACGAACGCUGGCGGCGUGCCUAACACAUGCAAGUCGAACGAAGCUCCCUGACGUAAGACUUUGGUCAAGCUGAUGGGAUGACUUAGUGGCGGACGGGUGAGUAACGCGUGAGGAACCUGCCUUUCAGUGGGGGACAACAGUUGGAAACGACUGCUAAUACCGCAUAAUGUACUUUGGGGGCAUCCCCGAGGUACCAAAGAUUUAUUGCUGAAAGAUGGCCUCGCGUCUGAUUAGAUAGUUGGUGAGGUAACGGCCCACCAAGUCGACGAUCAGUAGCCGGACUGAGAGGUUGAACGGCCACAUUGGGACUGAGAUACGGCCCAGACUCCUACGGGAGGCAGCAGUGGGGAAUAUUGGGCAAUGGGGGAAACCCUGACCCAGCAACGCCGCGUGAAGGAAGAAGGCUUUCGGGUUGUAAACUUCUUUUACCAGGGACGAAGGACGUGACGGUACCUGGAGAAAAAGCCACGGCUAACUACGUG
RNAcentral lists this ribosomal RNA (483 nucleotides) under uncultured bacterium. Its description in RNAcentral is "bacterial SSU rRNA". It matches the Rfam family "Bacterial small subunit ribosomal RNA", at positions 28 to 507 of the family's 1533-position model. The record is from RNAcentral.